CGGGGAGUGGCUCAGUCUGGUAGAGCACUGCGUUCGGGACGCAGGGGUCGGAGGUUCAAAUCCUCUCUUCCCGACCA
RNAcentral lists this transfer RNA (77 nucleotides) under Desulforhopalus vacuolatus. RNAcentral describes it as "tRNA-Pro". It matches the Rfam family "tRNA". From Rfam's summary of the family: Transfer RNA (tRNA) molecules are approximately 80 nucleotides in length. Their secondary structure includes four short double-helical elements and three loops (D, anti-codon, and T loops). RNAcentral also lists the same sequence under 2 other names. Lineage: Bacteria; Pseudomonadati; Thermodesulfobacteriota; Desulfobulbia; Desulfobulbales; Desulfocapsaceae. The record is from RNAcentral.